Molecule: ribosomal RNA, 305 nt
Filed under: uncultured soil bacterium
Lineage: Bacteria
Description: bacterial SSU rRNA
Rfam family: Bacterial small subunit ribosomal RNA
Source: RNAcentral
AGAUUGAACGCUGGCGGCAGGCCUAACACAUGCAAGUCGAGCGGCAGCACGGGUACUUGUACCUGGUGGCGAGCGGCGGACGGGUGAGUAAUGCCUAGGAAUCUGCCUGGUAGUGGGGGAUAACGCUCGGAAACGGACGCUAAUACCGCAUACGUCCUACGGGAGAAAGCAGGGGACCUUCGGGCCUUGCGCUAUCAGAUGAGCCUAGGUCGAUUAGCUAGUUGGUGGGGUAAUGGCUCACCAAGGCGACGAUCCGUAACUGGUCUGAGAGGAUGAUCAGUCACACUGGAACUGAGACACGGUCC